GAUGUCAUCUGGCAGUUAUCAUGCUGGCCUGGGACUGAGCCCUUGGUUGUAGCUGCCCGGAGAAGGGCAGCAGUCCGGGGUCGCGCAUCCUUCCUUCCCCACUAGGAGGAGCACUUGGCACUCUCUGAGAUGCGUGUGCGUGGCAGGAGACAGAGCCGUGUCUGGUGCUCAGCCGAGCUCCAGAUGCUUUGAUGGAGCGUCACGGCAAGCUCUGCGGAGGCGGUACGACAGAUUGAUUGACGUGCACAUGUGGAUGACACUGGACCCAAUCAGGAGACUGAAGAGUCUCAGCUCAGAUGUACCAUUUAACUUCGAGCCUCCGGCUCUGCGUUGUCGGCCUUCAAAUGGGGACCCUGCCUUUUUCAGGGUUCUGUAGAAGCGAAUGACAAAAAAAAAACAAAAACGUGUCAGGGAGUGUGUAGGUAGAUUGCUCAGAUAAAGGCUUGUGCCUGUAAACAAGGCCCCCAAAGGGGAGCUGCGUGGUUAUUAUCGUGAUGCCCUCUGGGGUGGGCAGCUGUGAUCCUCAUCCCAUAACCACAGAAACAACAAACAAACGGUAUUCAAGAGUCAGCUUGUCUACCACCCCUUUGAAAAGAGUUUACUCUUCAAAGCCCUCCAACUCCCUCCUCCUUUACCUCUUUUUUUUUUUUUUUUUUUUUUUUUUUUUUUUUUUUUUUUUUUGAUUUUUCGAGACAGGGUUUCUCUGUGUAGCUUUGCGCCUUUCCUGGAACUCACUUGGUAGUCCAGGCUGGCCUCGAACUCACAGAGAUCCGCCUGGCUCUGCCUCCCGAGUGCUGGGAUUAAAGGCGUGCGCCACCACCGCCCGGCUCUUUUUUACCCCUCCCCCCCCCAACACCUCGUUUCAAAGAUAUUUUGUAGCAUUUUGUCAAGUACCGGGCAAAGAGUGGUCCUACCGGAGCUGGGUCUUGACUCACCUCCCAGCUGCUCCAGUGCUUUUGGGACAGUCUGUGAACAUUGCUGAACAGCUCUCGUAACAGGAGGCUCCCUACUUCAUGGGACAGCCUAGUUUUCUUCAUUCACACUGAGUUCUGCCUCCCUGCCGUGCUUGUUCCGACCGACUCCUGGGAUCUUCAUGGAGUGAAUGCAGCCCCGUUUUCUAUGCCACCGCCCUUGAGAUGUAGGGAAAUAAAGAUGGUAGGCCCGGCGAA
Molecule: long non-coding RNA, 1169 nt
Organism: Peromyscus californicus insignis
Lineage: Eukaryota; Metazoa; Chordata; Mammalia; Rodentia; Cricetidae
Exons: 2
Source: RefSeq, a predicted model, not a curated record